RNAcentral lists this ribosomal RNA (292 nucleotides) under Andrescava sturmi. RNAcentral's name for it is "partial 16S ribosomal RNA". The stretch from base 86 to 292 matches the Rfam family "Bacterial large subunit ribosomal RNA", at positions 2046 to 2542 of the family's 2925-position model. Lineage: Eukaryota; Metazoa; Arthropoda; Arachnida; Opiliones; Agoristenidae. The record is from RNAcentral.
GCAUAAUCACUAGCUUUUUAAUUGAAGACUCGAAUGAAAGGUAGAAAUAUAAGAGGAUAGUUUUAAGAGAAAAAUUUUAACUUUAAUUAAAGGUAAAAAUGCCUUUAUUAACUUUCAGGACGAGAAGACCCUAGAAGUUUUAAAAUAAAAUUUUUUGGUUGGGGUGACCAAAGAAAAAAAAGAUCUUUUCUAAAAGAAAAUUCUGGUAAAAAUUACUCUAGGGAUAACAGCGUAAUUUAAUUAAAGAGUUCUUAUUAGAAAUUAAGCUUGCGACCUCGAUGUUGAAUUAAAU